CAAAGAAUAGUUUAAUUUAGAAUUUUAGCUUUGGGAGCUAGAGAUGGGAGUUAGAAUCUCCCUUCUUUGA
This 70-nucleotide transfer RNA is filed under the name Asterropteryx semipunctata (starry goby). Its description in RNAcentral is "tRNA-Pro". It matches the Rfam family "tRNA". Rfam says of the family: Transfer RNA (tRNA) molecules are approximately 80 nucleotides in length. Their secondary structure includes four short double-helical elements and three loops (D, anti-codon, and T loops). The record is from RNAcentral. Lineage: Eukaryota; Metazoa; Chordata; Actinopteri; Gobiiformes; Gobiidae.